Molecule: long non-coding RNA, 1008 nt
Filed under: Coturnix japonica (Japanese quail)
Lineage: Eukaryota; Metazoa; Chordata; Aves; Galliformes; Phasianidae
Description: lncRNA (ENSCJPG00005009188.1)
Source: RNAcentral
AUGGAUGGGUCCCUGCAAUGUGUGCAUAUCAAAAGCAGCACCUUGUUCGCAGAGGGAAGGCAAACAGGGGCUCGUGGUGGAUUUUCUCAGAGCAUUUUUGGUUGUUUUGAUGGCUCCAGCUGGAAGGGCAGCAUGGGACCCCGCUCCCAUCCUUCUUCCGCACAGAGGACGGUUCUCAUGAGCAAAAAAUGUGGCUUGCUCUCUGCUGCUGACAAACAGCAGGAGCACAGCAGCCCUGACGCCUUCCAGCACAGAGCAGCAAACACGCGUCCCGUCAGGAGGGAUGAAUAUCGCAUUGACGGAGGCAACAUUACUCAUUUUCCUGCUUGGGAAGCCAAGUAUGGGAGAAAAAGCUCUGGGUUGUGCCUGGGGCUCUGUCCUAUGAGCUGCAGAGCCCUCACUGGGGCAGCUCCACUGGGCUCCCCCCAGGAGCAAACAUGCCCCGUGCAAUGCAAUGGCAUCGCAGCUCCAUGCCGUACCCUAAGAAAACCCUACAUCAGAGCUCACCAAAAUGCUGUUAAGCCCCAUCCCCACUACCAGGGGAGUGAUUCCCAGCACCAGGGGACACCCAAAUGUCCCCAGAACCACAGCACCCAAAUGUCCCCAGCUGCACUUUGCUGCCCAAAGAAGAAGACCCAGAGCAGAGCAGGGUGCAGAGAAGAACACCAGCUCCAUGGCAGUGAAAGAAUGCACAGGAUUUGCUCUCCCAUGGCAUCCCAUGAUGUCCUCAAAACACCUCUUCCUCUACAUCCACUGCCCACACACAUGCCUUGGCACAAGGAUGCCAUUGCUGAGCUUUCCUUCCCCUACACAAAAUGCAUGAGACCGAAAGGUAGAACGCUGCCAGGUGCAAUCCUACCUCAUUCAUUUGCACCACAGGUUUGCAGCCUGUUAAAGCAUUUAAAUAUGGAGAAAGGCACUGCCUCACGUCGGGCUGGGAUGUGCUUGCACGUAGAUAUGCAUAUUUUAAAAGCUUGGCAGGAAGAGGGCUCCAAACUACACAAUUAA